Molecule: ribosomal RNA, 408 nt
Filed under: uncultured microorganism
Description: bacterial SSU rRNA
Rfam family: Bacterial small subunit ribosomal RNA
Source: RNAcentral
CAGCCGCCGCGGUAAUACGUAGGGUGCAAGCGUUAUUCGGAAUUACUGGGCGUAAAGCGUGCGCAGGCGGUUCGGAAAGAAAGAUGUGAAAUCCCAGAGCUUAACUUUGGAACUGCAUUUUUAACUACCGGGCUAGAGUGUGUCAGAGGGAGGUGGAAUUCCGCGUGUAGCAGUGAAAUGCGUAGAUAUGCGGAGGAACACCGAUGGCGAAGGCAGCCUCCUGGGAUAACACUGACGCUCAUGCACGAAAGCGUGGGGAGCAAACAGGAUUAGAUACCCUGGUAGUCCACGCCCUAAACGAUGUCAACUAGCUGUUGGGGCCUUCGGGCCUUGGUAGCGCAGCUAACGCGUGAAGUUGACCGCCUGGGGAGUACGGUCGCAAGAUUAAAACUUAAAGGAAUUGGCGGG